RNAcentral lists this ribosomal RNA (253 nucleotides) under uncultured bacterium. RNAcentral's name for it is "partial 16S ribosomal RNA". It matches the Rfam family "Bacterial small subunit ribosomal RNA", at positions 524 to 776 of the family's 1533-position model. The record is from RNAcentral.
UACGGGGGGGGCAAGCGUUGUUCGGAAUUACUGGGCGUAAAGGGCUCGUAGGCGGCCAACUAAGUCAGACGUGAAAUCCCUCGGCUUAACCGGGGAACUGCAUCUGAUACUGGAUGGCUUGAGUUCGGGAGAGGGGUGCGGAAUUCCAGGUGUAGCGGUGAAAUGCGUAGAUAUCUGGAGGAACACCGGUGGCGAAGGCGGCAUCCUGGACCGACACUGACGCUGAGGAGCGAAAGCCAGGGGAGCAAACGGG